This 532-nucleotide long non-coding RNA is filed under the name Marmota monax (woodchuck). The record is from RNAcentral. Lineage: Eukaryota; Metazoa; Chordata; Mammalia; Rodentia; Sciuridae.
GGCAGAGAACGUGGAUUUCCCCAGAACGUGAUUGUAGACGGCUGGUGUGAGUUCGGGAAUAAAGAGUUGCUGUUUGAAUCUACAAGCUGUGUGGUGGCUCGUGAUUGUGUGCCCAGCCAGACUGCGGCAUUUGUGCCCAGCCAGACUGUGGCAUUUGGCGUCCCGUGCGGGGAACUUCUGAAUCUUAGAGGUAAGUGAAAUUUCUCACCCUUGAGGAAGAGAGAAAGAAUGGGUGAACAUUUCAAAAAACAAUGUGUUAUUGUUUUGAUUUAUUUUAUUUUUAUUUCAAGUUGCCUGUUCCUAGAACUUUCUCAGGCAAACUGGGGAAAAUGGUUGACUCAAGGUUUGAAGUUGUUCGCCUCCGAGCAAGAGAAAUUGUUAGAGGAAGGAGGCACCCCAGUGAGACCNGUGACCUUGCUCAAGGACCAAGGCAGAUUAGGGUGUUCCCGGUUUUAAGAUAAUCGUGUUUAGGGCGUUCCCAGUUUAGGUUCCAGGUUUAAGGUUUAAGAUUAUUCCUGCUGGGAAUAGGGCA